This 326-nucleotide unclassified non-coding RNA is filed under the name Hevea brasiliensis (rubber tree). The record is from RNAcentral. Lineage: Eukaryota; Viridiplantae; Streptophyta; Magnoliopsida; Malpighiales; Euphorbiaceae.
AAUCUUACCAUAUAAUAGCGAAAGGUGAUCAUCUGCAUGGUUAUAAUGCCGAAGAGGUUAAGUUAAUAGCUCUACUUGUGAGACACCAUAGAAAGAAACUUCCCGACUAUGAUCAUAUGGUGCCUGAGGAAUUAACAAAAGAGAUGACAGGGAAAUUCAGAAUUCUUUGUGCAAUUCUACGUGUAUCUGCUGCAGUGGAGAAACUUCAGCUGUUCAGCAUCCACAAUGUGGAUUUCUCACAUACCUGUGAAGGAUAUAAAUUGGUACUUAAAGCAGGAAAUUUGCCCUUCCCUGGUUUUGUGCUACCAUCAGUGAACGACUUUGAG